UUUCCGUAGGUGAACCUGCGGAAGGAUCAUUAUUGGAUUUUGAAACUUCAGGCUGCUGCUGGCUCUCCUCGGAGGGCAUGUGCACGCUUGUUGUCCAUUAUUUCUCCCACUGUGCACAAAUUGUAGACCCUUCAGUAGGCCUAUGUUGUUUUUCACAAUCUCUGAAUGUAAUAGAAUGGUUUUGAAUCUUGGGAAAUACAAUACAACUUUCAGCAACGGAUCUCUUGGCUCUC
RNAcentral lists this unclassified non-coding RNA (233 nucleotides) under plant metagenome. RNAcentral describes it as "partial contains small subunit ribosomal RNA, internal transcribed spacer 1, and 5.8S ribosomal RNA". The record is from RNAcentral.